Molecule: non-coding RNA, 859 nt
Filed under: Eptatretus burgeri (inshore hagfish)
Lineage: Eukaryota; Metazoa; Chordata; Myxini; Myxiniformes; Myxinidae
Source: RNAcentral
UAAAAGGGUUAGUCUUGCCCUUAAUAUUAGGUAUUCUGAACUUAUACAUGCAAGUCUCCUCCAUACGGUGAGUUCCUUUAUAUUUAAAUGUAUAAAGAGACUUUAUAAGAUUUUAUUUUAAAUUAAAUUAACUUCACACCCCCAAGGGUAUUCAGCAGUAAUUAACAUUAAGCCAUAGACAAAAGUCUGACUUAAUUAAAGAAUAUUAAAGUGUCCAAAAUCGUGCCAGCAGACGCGGUUAUACAAUUACUUUAGUCUAAUAUAAAACGGCGUAAAGAGUAAACUUUUCUUUCUUUAAUCUCUAAAACUAAACCAAUUUACUAUAGUUAAAUAUGUAAAUUUUUCAAACACCAACUAAAGCAGUUUUAAGAACAAGCUUAUAACUUUACGAAAGUUAGGACCCAAACUAGGAUUAGACACCCCACUAUGCCUAACCGUAAACAAAGAAUUUUGCGCCCGAAUACUACGAGCACAAGCUUAAAAUUCAAAAGACUUGACGGUGUCCUAUCCCCCUAGAGGAGUUCGUUUCCUAAACGAUAAUCCGCGAUUCACCUUACCAUUUUUACCAGUUUAUAUACCGCCGUCGAAAGCCAACCCUACCUAAAGGAACAGGCAAAAUGGCCUUAGCCAAAACGUCAGGUUAGGUGUAACCUAUAAAAUGGAAAAAACGAACUACAUUAAUAAUCUAUUAUUUAUAUAAAACAAAUGAAAACUUAGUUAAAAUUGAAUUUAGAAGUAAAUAAAAACCAGAUAAUUUUAUUGAACUGAGCCAUAUGACACGCACACACCGCCCGUCACUCCCAAAACGUUUUGGGAAAAGUCGUAACACGGUAAGUGUACCAGAAGGUGCACUUGGACC